GACGAACGCUGGCGGCGUGCCUAAUACAUGCAAGUAGAACGCACAGUUUAUACCGUAGCUUGCUACACCAUAGACUGUGAGUUGCGAACGGGUGAGUAACGCGUAGGUAACCUGCCUGGUAGCGGGGGAUAACUAUUGGAAACGAUAGCUAAUACCGCAUAAUAUUAAUUAUUGCAUGAUAAUUGAUUGAAAGAUGCAACUGCACCACUACCAGAUGGACCUGCGUUGUAUUAGCUAGUAGGUGAGGUAACGGCUCACCUAGGCGACGAUACAUAGCCGACCUGGGAGGGUGAUCGGCCCCCCUGGGACUGGGACACGGCCCAGACUCCUACGGGAGGCAGCAGUAGGGAAUCUUCGGCAAUGGACGAAAGUCUGACCGAGCAACGCCGCGUGAGUGAAGAAGGUUUUCGGAUCGUAAAGCUCUGUUGUAAGAGAAGAACGGGUGUGAGAGUGGAAAGUUCACACUGUGACGGUAUCUUACCAGAAAGGGACGGCUAACUACGUG
RNAcentral lists this ribosomal RNA (505 nucleotides) under uncultured bacterium. RNAcentral's name for it is "partial 16S ribosomal RNA". It matches the Rfam family "Bacterial small subunit ribosomal RNA", at positions 28 to 507 of the family's 1533-position model. The record is from RNAcentral.